RNA transcript from Folsomia candida, 1573 nucleotides. It is a transcript of the gene named ERAD-associated E3 ubiquitin-protein ligase hrd1-like, with no coding region annotated. The record is from RefSeq and is a predicted model, not a curated record. NCBI's taxonomy places the organism in Eukaryota, Metazoa, Arthropoda, Collembola, Entomobryomorpha, Isotomidae. The transcript has 5 exons.
UAGGAUGGAUAAAGAGUAGAAUAUAUUAUUGCAGCUACAAAAUAAGUUAAAACUGUUGUAGGUCGCAAAGUUUUUGGAAAACUAUAUGUAAACUACGUUAAUCAGCUUCAGAAUUGCCCUCCGAUAGCGGACAUUGAAGCCUUGAAGGAUCAAAGAGUAUUCCUUAAUUCCUCGUUUGGUAAGAUAUUACGAAACGAGAUAUUACUUUGCAUAUUACGAUAUAGAUAGUAAUAUGCAAAGUACGAGCAUUUGGUUGUUAGGGAUACGUGUACAAAUACAUUUUCAAGCCAUGCAACAUUUACAAAUUAAAUUCAAGAAAUUCGGUUUUUCGUGUCGGUCUGCCUCCACCCAGGCGAUUGUUAAAUUAAGAGCAGUAGUUUUGUCUAAAGUAAUAAAAUACAUACAUUUGUAAUAAAGAUAAGCCGAGGUGUGCAGUUCAUUUUCAAAAUGAACUGCCCCAUCUGCUUCGAUGAACUGCUGACUUCAUCCAAUGACGAUGCCAACCAUGUAGAUGAAGAUGAAGACUUGGAACCAUACCCACCGAAGAAUCAAACUCCUGUGGUGACCAUGUGCGGUCAUAUUUUUCAUGACCAUUGUAUCUCAGAAUGGUUCCGCAGCCCAUCUAAUGCAAGACAACGAACUUGUCCCACAUGCAGAAAGCGAGUGAGACAACACGAUCUUCGUCACGUUUGUCUAAAUAAUCGAAACAUUGCUGCUACUGCUCCAAAGGGAAAUGUCAAGAACAAACCAAACCCUGGCCAUCUUCCUGCUGGAGGUGUUUGCUUCAGUGAUGACCAUUUUGACAAGUUGAGCCAAGUCUAUUUGACGCUGAAAGACGUUUACGACAAGAAACGAGAGGACUUGCAAUCGACACAUGCAGCAAAUGUCAUUUUAAGGAACCUCAAAAGAGAACCAGAAAGAAUUCCGACGCCUAAGAACUACACGGAUAUUCCAGCCAAGAAACAGAACAUUUACCCAAGCAAACAUACUUAACCAUGCAACGAACUAGUACAGUAAGUAAUGUUAGGAAAAUAGUCUUCCCACAAGAUGAAACGAGGGCGAAUCAAAGAUAAUAAGUCUUGGCUAAAGUAUGUACAUAUAGAUUUUACAUACACAAAAUAAUCGGCUUGUUUAGAAAAUCUUGGAAAAUAAAUGUAACGUUACGCUAUACAUAAUUCAGCAAUUCUUUAACCAAAAUUUUAUAACCUGAGAUUUUCAUAAUUAAAGUUUCGUACAGAUCAAUAAAUAAUAGAUAGAUAAUUAUUGUAGCAUACACAAUUUAGCUAAUCGUAACAUCGUAACUCGUAAGCCAUAGGGCUUAUGCAACCUUCAUGCCUGUCUAUCUCCUAUAUGUAUCUUCAUAUUUUGGUCUAUGCAAAAUCCAAACACGUAGAAAGGAUGUUUUUUAGAAAGUUCAUCCUCAGCCAUUGAGUUUCCCAUCACACUCAACUGGGAAAGCUCAACAAGCAAAUAGACCAAAGAAAUUCAUACAAUUUCGCACUAGAUGAUCUGAAGAUACCUUCGCAAGACGACAGAAUUUCAAGUUUCGGAACUGAAAUACAAAAAUUCUUAG